This 253-nucleotide ribosomal RNA is filed under the name uncultured bacterium. RNAcentral's name for it is "partial 16S ribosomal RNA". It matches the Rfam family "Bacterial small subunit ribosomal RNA", at positions 524 to 776 of the family's 1533-position model. The record is from RNAcentral.
CACGUAGGGCGCAAGCGUUGUCCGGAAUUAUUGGGCGUAAAGAGCUCGUAGGCGGUCUGCUACGUCCGCUGUGAAAACCUAGGGCUUAACCCUGGGCUUGCAGUAGAUACGGGCAGACUAGAGGUAGGUAGGGGAGAAUGGAAUUCCCGGUGUAGCGGUGAAAUGCGCAGAUAUCGGGAGGAACACCGGUGGCGAAGGCGGUUCUCUGGGCCUUACCUGACGCUGAGGAGCGAAAGCGUGGGGAGCGAACAGG